CCCAGCUCUAGGCAGCUGCCUAGUUUGCAUUGUACCUAGGUAAGUGUUACACAGGUGGGAGAAAAGCAGCUAAGAGCUGGUGGGCAUCCUGGGCCUGGUUAAUGCCAAAUACG
RNAcentral lists this small nucleolar RNA (113 nucleotides) under Ochotona princeps (American pika). RNAcentral describes it as "Small nucleolar RNA SNORA74 (ENSOPRG00000022682.1)". The record is from RNAcentral. Lineage: Eukaryota; Metazoa; Chordata; Mammalia; Lagomorpha; Ochotonidae.